CCUACGGGAGGCAGCAGUGAGGAAUAUUGGUCAAUGGCCGUAAGGCUGAACCAGCCAAGUAGCGUGAGGGAAGACUGCCCUAUGGGUUGUAAACCUCUUUUAUGCGGGGAUCAAGGUGUCCACGUGUGGAUGUUUGCAGGUACCGCAUGAAUAAGGACCGGCUAAUUCCGUGCUAGCAGCCGCGGUAAUACGGAAGGUCCGGGCGUUAUCCGGAUUUAUUGGGUUUAAAGGGAGCGUAGGCCGGUCUUUAAGCGUGCCGGGAAAUUUUGUGGCUCAACCAUGAGAGUGCGGCGCGAACUGGAGACCUUGAGUGCGCGGAAGGCAGGCGGAAUUCGUGGUGUAGCGGUGAAAUGCUGAGAUAUCACGAAGAACCCCGAUUGCGAAGGCAGCCUGCCGCAGCGUUACUGACGCGGAAGCUCGAAAGCGCGGGUAUCGAACAGGAGUAGAUACCCGGGUAGUC
This 460-nucleotide ribosomal RNA is filed under the name uncultured bacterium. RNAcentral's name for it is "partial 16S ribosomal RNA". It matches the Rfam family "Bacterial small subunit ribosomal RNA", at positions 338 to 795 of the family's 1533-position model. The record is from RNAcentral.